This is a non-coding RNA of Cinara cedri, 247 nucleotides long. The record is from the annotation of a GenBank genome assembly. NCBI's taxonomy places the organism in Eukaryota, Metazoa, Arthropoda, Insecta, Hemiptera, Aphididae.
AAAAACCGUCAAUUAUUGUUGAAAACUCGCUUAAAAUGUAUCGCCAUCAAAUCGCACGUAGCUCUACGACCGUAUAACGAUUAUAUCUAUAACGGACGCGACCACGGAAUACGCUCGGCAGCGUAAUUUACAGAUUUGACGAUUACCUACGCGCACAACGUACUAACAGUCGAGUGCAACUAUACGAUGUUAUUAUUUAUCGUCCGUGAGCUAACAACACUCGGGUAGGAGUCCCGUGCAACCCAAA